Molecule: ribosomal RNA, 438 nt
Filed under: Aggregatibacter actinomycetemcomitans
Lineage: Bacteria; Pseudomonadati; Pseudomonadota; Gammaproteobacteria; Pasteurellales; Pasteurellaceae
Description: bacterial SSU rRNA
Rfam family: Bacterial small subunit ribosomal RNA
Source: RNAcentral
ACGGUAGCAGGUAAGUACUUGUACUUAUGCCGACGAGUGGCGGACGGGUGAGUAAUGCUUGGGAAUCUGUCUUAUGGAGGGGGAUAACGACGGGAAACUGUCGCUAAUACCGCGUAGAAUCGGGAGAUGAAAGUGUGGGACCUUCGGGCCACAUGCCAUAGGAUGAGCCCAAGUGUGAUUAGGUAGUUGGUGGGGUAAAGGCCUACCAAGCCGACGAUCGCUAGCUGGUCUGAGAGGAUGGCCAGCCACACCGGGACUGAGACACGGCCCGGACUCCUACGGGAGGCAGCAGUGGGGAAUAUUGCGCAAUGGGGGCAACCCUGACGCAGCCAUGCCGCGUGAAUGAAGAAGGCCUUCGGGUUGUAAAGUUCUUUCGGUGAUGAGGAAGGUUGGUGUGUUAAUAGCAUGCCAAAUUGACGUUAAAUACAGAAGAAGCAC